UUCCGGUUGAUCCCGCCGGACCUGACUGCUAUCGGAUUGAUACUAAGCCAUGCGAGUUUUUGUAGUAAUACAAGGCAGACGGCUCAGUAACACGUAGUCAAUCUAACCUAUGGACGAGGAUAACCUCGGGAAACUGAGAAUAAUACUCGAUAGAUCAUUAUGCCUGGAACGGUUUAUGGUUCAAAUGAAUUUCGCCAUAGGAUGGGACUGCGGUCUAUCAGCUUGUUGGUGAGGUAAUGGCCCACCAAGGCUAUAACAGAUACGGGCUCUGAGAGGAGAAGCCCGGAGAUGGGUACUGAGACACGGACCCAGGCCCUAUGGGGCGCAGCAGGCGAGAAAACUUUGCAAUGUGCGAAAGCACGACAAGGUUAAUCCGAGUGGUUUCUGCUAAAGGAACCUUUUGUUAGUCAUAGAACCACUAAUGAAUAAGGGGUGGGCAAGUUCUGGUGUCAGCCGCCGCGGUAAAACCAGCACCUCAAGUGGUCAGGAUGAUUAUUGGGCCUAAAGCAUCCGUAGCCGGCUUUGUCAGUUUUCGGUUAAAUCCAUACGCUCAACGUAUGGGCUGCCGGGAAUACUACAAGGCUAGGGAGUGGGAGAGGUAGACGGUACUCGGUAGGAAGGGGUAAAAUCCUUUGAUCUAUUGAUGACCACCUGUGGCGAAGGCGGUCUACCAGAACACGUCCGACGGUGAGGGAUGAAAGCUGGGGGAGCAAACCGGAUUAGAUACCCGGGUAGUCCCAGCUGUAAACUAUGCAAACUCGGUGAUGCAUUGGCUUGAUGCCAAUGCAGUGCCGCAGGAAGCCGUUAAGUUUGCCGCCUGGGAAGUACGUACGCAAGUAUGAAACUUAAGGGAAUUGGGCGGGGGAGCACCAACAGGGGUGAGGCCUGCGGUUCAAUUGGAUUCAACGCCGGAA
This 914-nucleotide ribosomal RNA is filed under the name uncultured archaeon. RNAcentral describes it as "bacterial SSU rRNA". It matches the Rfam family "Archaeal small subunit ribosomal RNA", at positions 1 to 923 of the family's 1478-position model. The record is from RNAcentral.